Cyprinus carpio (common carp) is the source of this 658-nucleotide long non-coding RNA. NCBI's taxonomy places the organism in Eukaryota, Metazoa, Chordata, Actinopteri, Cypriniformes, Cyprinidae. The record is from Ensembl.
AUGAUUCCAUUUCUCACUGAUUCAUGAAAACAACUAAAAUGCUGUAUUAUUCAGGCCUGGCCAGUAGUUGGCGAUGUCACUUUGUGAAGAAACACUAUGCAUGCUCAUGACAUGUCAAAUUUGCAUUUUGUAGUUUACAAGGAUAAACAUUCACAAGGAUUUUAAAAACGUGCACCUUGAAACCCCUUCUCAAACAUUUGUUUUCAGGCUCCCAAAUCGCUGUUUUUGUGUAAACGAGUAGUUGGCCAAAAAUAGUAAUGAGUGCAAGGUUUCUCACCGACGUCGGAUCGCAUCAUUUCCACAAUGGCGAAGUACACGGAGAUGUUGUUGAAGCUUCUGGUACAUUCCUCACACACUUGGCCCGUCCGCAUCGUCAUCCCUUUUUUGUUUUUUCUUUCCACUCUCCCAUUCCCUCCUGUCUCACUGUGGAUGGUUUUUGAGAAGCACUUUGUGUCCCAUACCUGUGGUUUUGUGGUGUUCUGCUGUAUCGUCUAGUAAUGAGUUAAGUUUAGACAGCUGAUUCUUUUUCACGUUAAAAUGUUUUCUAUUUUCUUCUCCUUUUCUGGAAUCAUACUGUGUUUUUUUCCCCUCUGGCACAUGUCUGGGAUCUUAUAUUGGAUGCAUGAUGCAAUAAAUACACAGAGGAUGAAGAGAAUCA